UGGGGAAUCAUGGUCAAUGGGCGAAAGCCUGAACCUGCGACGCCGCGUGAGUGAUGAAGGUCGUAAGAUCGUAAAACUCUUUUCAGGGAUCUUAAAGCCUGUCUGUCAACAACAGGCAGGUCUGACUCUCCCUGGAAGAAGCCCCAGCCAACUACGUGCCAGCAGCUGCGGUAAUACGUAGGGGGCGAGCGUUAUUCGGAAUUACUGGGUGUAAAGGGUGCGUAGGCGGAUUUGCAAGUCAGGUGUGAAAACUAUCGGCUUAACCGGUAGCCUGCACUUGAAACUGUGAGUCGUGAGUGGUGAAGAGGUAAGCGGAAUUCCUAGUGUAGCGGUGAAAUGCGUAGAUAUUAGGAGGAACACCAGUGGCGAAGGCGGCUUACUGGGCACUAACUGACGCUGAGGCACGAAAGCAUGGGGAGCAAACA
This 425-nucleotide ribosomal RNA is filed under the name uncultured prokaryote. RNAcentral describes it as "bacterial SSU rRNA". It matches the Rfam family "Bacterial small subunit ribosomal RNA", at positions 355 to 774 of the family's 1533-position model. The record is from RNAcentral.